AGCUCGCUCCAGCGUCGGGAGAGAGAAGAACCCGGGCCCAGGCUCCAGCUUCAGGGCCCCGCGCCGCAGCUGCUCGGAGGCCGUUCCUAUCACCUCUUCAGCGGCUUCGACUGGGCUGCUAUUUGGGGCAUGAUCUUGUGAAAGGCUGAGAGGUGGGUUCUCGUGUGGGGUCUUGGUAUCCUGGCUCCUGCCCGCUCACAGCAGCCUUAGCGCCCGCUGACGCCGAGUCUGCACACCAGAGAGGGCAGGCUGCUAGGUCAACCCACUGGUGAGGGCACCAGCCUCACCCAACGUGAGCCAUGUGGGCUCAUCCCACACUGCCAGCCUGAUGCCCAGUGGUUCUUAACUGGGAAGGGCCCUGUGGCCCUCCAUGCUCUGAAGUUGGAUUCCACUGGCUUCAGGGACAGAGCCCGGGUUAGACGCAGCAUGUCCUGCCGGUGAGGAUGCCGACUCUGGACAGCCCUGGCUCCGGCAAGCUCUUCUUCCCGUGGUCCACCAGGGACGUCAGCAGAUGCCCCUCCCAGCAUGAUGGGAGGGUGCGGGAAGACCCAUGGGGCCAAACCGUCAGCCCCGUGCCUGGCCCAGGAGCAGGCUCAGUCGGUGCUUUAUUGAUUGGCACAUAUGGUAUGAUGACUGUAUUCGUGUUCCUCGGUUCAGAGAUGGUCCAGCCAGGCAGGACCAUGCUCUGCUCUCCCAGAUGUGAGGACCACACCUGCCCAUCCUCCGUCUCCAUCUGUUUCUCCAGCUCCUCUCCCUCCUGAGCGUCUCAGCCCUCACUGAGAAAGGCCACGAAAAUCAAACCCUGUGACUCCCACCCCGGGGAGCCGCAGCCCGAGGAGAAGGGAGAGCUUUCAAGAGAAUCCUGGGCUGCCCAGCCCCGCUUUGAUCCUUUGAAUGGGGGUCUUUUCCUGAUUUACCUGCUGGGUCCUCUCACACCUUCCUUCUGGGUGCUGAGCGGUGGCGGGGGUGGGGGACGGGGAUGGGCACGUGCAGGAGGGAAGGCACCUGGAGCCGUGCCAGGAACGAGUCCUUCUCAGGUUCCCAGGGAAACCCGCCUCCUCUGGCUGGAGCCCAGGAGGACGUCGCUCCACAGGCACGAAGAGCCUCAGCCGCCAGCCACCACCUCCUUCUUCCUGAGGUGUCCCCUCCCCAAAUGCUAAGUUUCCCUCAGAACACACCCAGCUGCAUUCAGUGUGGAGUGGGGGGUCUGGGGCCGAGUGGGACUGGAGUUCAUGAGCAUGACAUCAUCCCACACGGUGGGGUCUCUGGGGAGCUUUUCAUCCAUUCUGCAAAAAUGUCUCAAGUUCUUCCUGCAUUUAUGGUGCAGCACUCAGACCACGUUGGAUGAUGAGACUCAAGACAGUGCACCCCACUCCUGACCCGAGCAAGAGCAGAAAGUAGCAGGGACAGUGACAUCAAGGAAGGAAGACACCAGGUCCCUGGUGGCAUGGCACCAGGGCAUACUGCAUCCUCAGUGUGAGCAAGCAAAAGCAGAGCCUCCCUGGGCAUCCACAGGAUGGCCCUGGAGCCAGAAGGCCAGCUCCCGCCUGGCUGGUGACCAUGCUCAGCUGCUGGAGACUGUCACUGAAUACUUGAAUCUUGCAGGUCAUGGAAUCCCAGUUGGGUGGUCAGGGCCAGCGGAGUCUGGGGUACCAGCAAUGACACAGGAGCAGGGAGCAGGACCCUACCAAGGAGCUGGGCCUUGGGGCAGGAGGUGUCUAAGGGCUGGGCCUGGAGAUGGCCCCUGAGCUUUCUUUAUCCUGACGGUGAGUGACUUCUGCGGCGGGGUGAUAAAGGCAUUGCGGCCUCCACCUGGCUCUUGCAUCCUUCAGGGGGAGGUUGGCCACAUUGUGAGGCCCUGGAGAGCCUGUGGAGAAGUCCAUGUGGGAGGGACUGAGGCCCCUAGCCCACAGCCAGCACUACGGGGCUGCAGGAGUGAGCCUUCUCGGGAGCAGACCCCCAAACCCAGCCAAGCCUUUGGAUGUGUCUAUCCCUGCUGGACAGCAGCCUGGUGGGGGACCCGUCUGGAACCUCCCAGUCAAGGGGCUCCAGGAUUUCCCAGGUCGCAGAAACUGUUGUUGUCGAAUCCCGCAGGUAUCGGGACCUCUGACAGGGCCCGCAGGUCUGGUUCAGGGUGACGCGUCCUGAGUCUCCUCGUUCCCUGACACUGGGAAGGGGGGCUGGCCUGGCUGGGCUUGCUCCUCUCCAGUCCUCUCUGCACACCUGCCUUGACCUUCCCAUCCAGCCUCGGUCCAUGCCUCUGCACCUCUUCACGUUUCAUUCCCUCUAUCUGGGGACAUGUAGAGACGUUUCUUGAGGGCUGCUGUCAUUUUUUUAAGGUCAUAACCACCUUUUAAUUAUAUGAAGGGAGGAGCUGGAAGAGGUGGAGAGGUGGGGGGGGGGCAGCAGAGACUCUCAGAAGGGCAACAACCCAAAACCUAUUUUGUCUGCUCCUGAAAGCCUAGAAUGGGGGAAGCACAGACCCGUGUCCAGGCUCCUCACCGUCAACGCUGAGCCGCAUCCCCUGGGCGCGGCCCUCUCAGGCAGGAGGGCUCCCAGGAGCUUGCGCAGUGCAGGAGCAGCAACACCAUGCACGCUCGCAUGUGGGACCUGCAACCUGCCUCCUGCCCCGUCUUUGUUCUCUGUAUUCAGUGUCCACAGCUGGGAAGGGCCCCUCUGCAUGAGAUGGACACCCGGCUCUGAAGCUUGAGGUCCUGGCAGUUGGACCAACAGCUCCCUGACCCUCCAUGUAUACCAAGAUGUGCUCAAAAGGAGCAUUAAGCCAUGUUGGGGGGCAAAAUCAUCAGGCAGAGGCCCGUGGGUGUGCCAUGUACCCACAGUGCCACCACAGAGGCACCCCUUCAUGAGCGCUGGGCUCAGCCCAUACCCCCACCUCUGCCCAGGCAGCUAAUUAUCCCAGAGCUCUGGUAAUAGGAGGUGAGGCGGGGCGGGGAGAAGAGCCUAUAAUUAAGCCUGUGAGUCACAGAGGGCAGCAUCCAGUUCCCAAAGUGGCCACUCCUAACUUGGGAGUUAAGUGCAACUUUUUCCAUUAAAGUGAUAGACUCUUAGAAUUCUAUUUUUAUCUUAUUAUCUGCUCAAAUAGGCUCCACCUUCUUGCCUCUGGGGUAGAUCAUUGGAAUAAUGGUGCCCCCGUUAGUGGGUGCCCACCUGUACCCAUGCCCUUGAGGACACCCCUCCUGCACUGAUUCUGGGCCUGGCAUGUCCUAGGCUUUGACCAUGAGAUGGCAACUGGGACACAGUCAGAGGCUUCUCAGGUGCCUGUGCACUUUGCAGCCCCAAGGCCACCAUAUGAGGAGCCCGCUGGCCUCCUAGAGGACUAGAGCCAUAGGGAGCAGAGACCCCCCACCAACCCCUCUGCCACCUGCCAGAGCCCAGGUGAGGCUUCCCAGCCCCAGCCCCAACCCAGCCACCCAUAGCACCUAUGGAUCAGGCAGAAGGGCCCAGAAAAUAACUGCCUGGCUGAUCCAUGGAGAACAGAAAUACUAAAUGCUACUUUAAGCCAUGACAUUUUGAGUAGUUCAUUAUUAAUAUACCUUCCAGCCUCCACCAUGCCGUGGAUUGCUAGAGGUCUUAAGACUCUGUUUUACUGAAAAUUGUAUUUUCAUGCCUGGAAUAGCACAAUGUGUUGCAUGAAACACGCACACGUGUACAUACGUGUGUGCCUAUGCCCUGCGUGCACGUGUGCACAUGGGUGUGCCUGCCUGCGUGUGUGUGCACAUUGGUAGGCACACCCACAGGUUGCACAGGUGCCACGCGUGGGCAUGAAUACUUGGGCCCCCCAUGAACUCUCAUGCGUGCACACAUGCAUGUAUGAGCACACGUCUCUCACAUCAUGUGCCUUCUAAAUGAGUCAUGGAUGUAUGAAUGUCAAGUCACCCUCCUCAGCUUCCUGCCGGGCAAUCCCAUCGCACUGUCAGCAGCUGGCAGGUGCAGGUGAAGAACUCGACAUUUUCUCAAUUAGUUGAGAGUGAGACCACAGAAGCUCCCUGGGGUGGCAGUGAAGGUCUCGGGGUGUCAGACCAGGCCCCAUGGUACAGCACAGGUCUUAUGGUGGUCGAGUGCAGGGACCACCUCUUUCCACCCCGCGGACGCCCCUGGCUGGGCCCAAGCAUGCUGGCGGGCUAGUUCCUCACUGCACAUGGGUGGCGUCUGCCCUGUGGUCAGAGCCUGGGGAACAGCAGCACCUGCCCCCACCCCUGCCCGGCCCCACACCACCAGGGCUCUGAGCCCCCGCUGCACGGAGAGAGCCCCUCAGAGCUCGGGGCCCAAGGUCGGGAGCUGCUUGCUAGCGAUGGGCACAUCAGACAGAAGCCAUGCCCGGGUCUGGGCUGCACCCAGGCUUUGCUGCCGUUGCUGGCGGUUCUGGCGAUGGGACUGCGAUGGUACCCAGGCCUCAGGCACACCAGGAAGAGCACCCAGCUCCUGUACCCAGUCCUUAUGCCUCCAGCCUGGUGGCCACGGUCACGGGGCAGCCCCCCAGGACCCUGCACGACUCCACUUGCCUCUCGUCCCGAAGGCCAGACCCUAUUCCCUGAGAACUACUCUGCAGCCUCUGACUUCAGCAGAGCCUGCCCUGGUGGCCUGCUGGGUCUGGGCCAGUAGUGCGGCCCUGUGAGCUUCCAGGGCUGAUUGGACAGCAGACCCCAAAGCCGGAGCAGUCGUCCCACAGAGCACUUUCCCCAACUUAUUCUCAAGUACACAACAAUUAAAAAUAUGCUCCAGCAUGUUUACAACAGCAGAAGAUCCUGGGAACAUCUAAGUCUGUAUGCCCCAAGGGAGGCAGGACCCAAAUUCCAAAGGGAUGAAAUGAAAGGUGGUCCGCGCCUGUAACCCCAGCUGCUUGGGAGGCUGAGGCAGGAGGCUGUCAAACGGCAGGUUGGAGGCCAACCUCAGAGAGUAAGACCCUAUCUCAAAAUAAAAGUUUGAAAGGACUGGGGACGGGCUGGGGCUCGGGCUCAGUGGUAGACCACUUGCCUAGCAUGUGUGAGGCCCUGAGUUCGAUCCUCAACACCACAUAAAGAGUAAAAAGAAUAAAUAAAUACAAUAAAGGCAUUGUCUGUCUGUCUCUCUCUCUCUCU
RNAcentral lists this long non-coding RNA (5099 nucleotides) under Marmota monax (woodchuck). The record is from RNAcentral. Lineage: Eukaryota; Metazoa; Chordata; Mammalia; Rodentia; Sciuridae.